GCCAGGUGCAGUGGCAUAUACCUGUAGUCCCAGCUACUUGGGAGGCUGAAGUGGGAGGAUCACUUGUGCCUUGAGUUCUAGACUCAUUUGAGCAAACCAGUGAAAUCCCCAUCUU
Molecule: small RNA, 115 nt
Filed under: Marmota monax (woodchuck)
Lineage: Eukaryota; Metazoa; Chordata; Mammalia; Rodentia; Sciuridae
Source: RNAcentral